UACGUAGGGUGCAAGCGUUGUCCGGAAUUAUUGGGCGUAAAGAGCUCGUAGGCGGUUUGUCGCGUCUGCUGUGAAAACUCAGGGCUUAACCCUGAGCCUGCAGUGGGUACGGGCAGACUAGAGUGUGGUAGGGGAGAGCGGAACUCCUGGUGUAGCGGUGGAAUGCGCAGAUAUCAGGAAGAACACCGGUGGCGAAGGCGGCUCUCUGGGCCUUACCUGACGCUGAGGAGCGAAAGCGUGGGUAGCGAACAGG
This 253-nucleotide ribosomal RNA is filed under the name uncultured bacterium. RNAcentral's name for it is "partial 16S ribosomal RNA". It matches the Rfam family "Bacterial small subunit ribosomal RNA", at positions 524 to 776 of the family's 1533-position model. The record is from RNAcentral.